Molecule: long non-coding RNA, 660 nt
Organism: Helianthus annuus (common sunflower)
Lineage: Eukaryota; Viridiplantae; Streptophyta; Magnoliopsida; Asterales; Asteraceae
Exons: 3
Source: RefSeq, a predicted model, not a curated record
CGAAUUAGCGAGCGACCCGUUUUACUUACUUACUUACCCGAGUCGGUCUUUGUUAACCCUAGAGAGGCUUUGACAUCACUAGUUUGAGGCAAAGAGUGAGGAUCGUUCAAGCAGGAUUGAAUAAAGGCGUUUGAAAUUCAGGUUGCAGAAAUGAAGGUGAGGUCGUCAGUGAAGAAAAUGUGUGAGUUCUGUAGAACAGUGAAACGUCGUGGCAGAGUGUUUGUUUUGUGCUCAGCAAAUCCCAAGCAUAAACAGCGACAAGGCCUGUCAACCAUCUCUUUCCCGGAAGCCUCACUCACUUCCAGAAUAUCAGAAAUGCAGAUGACAAGAAGCAGUUAUCAAGCUAAGGAUGCUUCGAGCUUUGGCAUUGGAGGUGGCCUGGCUUCUCUACUGGUUGAGAGGAAGUCGCCUGCGAUUUUUGCUGGAUGGAGAGUCAGCCUUACGUCUCUUCUCCAGACACGUGCCAAAUGAUGAUGUUAUCUGCAACGCUAAAUUUUGAUUCUACAAGAAACUUUAUGUGCUUGCUCCAAAUUAUCUUAAUUCAUAAAGAUUGCAAUCAAGCUUCUUGUAUUCAAUAAUGAACUCAACUUUGUAGGAUGGUCCAACUUUUUGUCUUGUUGAGUUUAUACCAAAUCUUUGUUUUGGGACUGUUCACUGACA